GCAGCUCUUCCUCUUUUGUUUUUUUUUUUGCCUCUCGUUUUUCCUUUACUCGCUUGCGCUUCGUCGUCGCUGUUUCCGAGAUGGGGGAAAUCGUACAAGGCCGCGGUGGCGAAGGUAGAGAGGAAGAAGCUCGGCGGACUGGUCGCUGAGGAGAACUGCGGCCCAUCGAUGCUCCUCCUCGCAGAAGUGAAUCCAAUCUCGCUUUGAUUUCGUGUUUUUGAGUAGAUCCUUGAAGGACGGUCAGGAUCUGUUCUAUAGGCUCGUACAACUGUGUCCUUGAGUGUUAAGGAGACAAGCAACCCAAUCUGGAUGAUGACGGAAAGAUUCGAGAUCAGAGCGUGAUUAACGGCCUAAAUUCUUUGGGAUUGGUGGCUUCGGAGGAUCGUUUUCAGCGGGUGUCUAGUCUACUCACCUGCUGGGGUGGUCUCGAAUCUGUCUGACAGACGCCGAAAUUAUUUUUAGUAGGUUCAUCUCGUUGUGGAUGAUCGUUCUCAGCAUUUCUCUACCCCUGCUUGGGUGGUCUAGAGUCUGACAGACCAUAAAAUAGUUUUUACCUUAACGAACAAGCGACGCAGCAAAUUAAUAUAAUAAUUUCAUGUUUUUUACAAA
Molecule: long non-coding RNA, 609 nt
Organism: Zingiber officinale
Lineage: Eukaryota; Viridiplantae; Streptophyta; Magnoliopsida; Zingiberales; Zingiberaceae
Exons: 2
Source: RefSeq, a predicted model, not a curated record